RNAcentral lists this long non-coding RNA (431 nucleotides) under Homo sapiens (human). RNAcentral's name for it is "HSALNT0295700". The record is from RNAcentral. Lineage: Eukaryota; Metazoa; Chordata; Mammalia; Primates; Hominidae.
AAAGGUGGGCUCUAUAGAGGCGACCGGCAAGCUGGAACACCAACCUGGAAAGAGAGUGAGCCACAAGGACCAAUUGGAAGCCUGUGGGGGAUAUCGGGGGCGGGGCUGCUGGCUGUGGUACUUUUGCAGCUUUGGUGGGCUCCGGCUUCCUUCACUCCAGCCCACCGCGUCCGAGAGACUUAGCAGGGCGUCAAACUGGAGAGCGGAAGGAUGGAACCUUUUAUUCUCAGGUGGAGAGGAUUAAGCUUUGCGGUGUUAGCAGAAAAUGAUCGAGCUCCAGAAAAUGAUUUGGAGGGUGAUCCCUUGGGGACUACGCUCCUUGAAACAAGGAGGACAGUUCUGCAGGUGUACCCAGCAGCUCCGAAGAGACAGCGACCAUCGAGAACAAGCCAUGAUGAUGAUGGUGGUUUGUCGAAAAGGAAAUGGGGAAA